Molecule: ribosomal RNA, 468 nt
Filed under: uncultured bacterium
Lineage: Bacteria
Description: partial 16S ribosomal RNA
Rfam family: Bacterial small subunit ribosomal RNA
Source: RNAcentral
GACGAACGCUGGCGGCGUGCUUAACACAUGCAAGUCGAACGGAAAGGCCCUGCUUUUGUGGGGUGCUCGAGUGGCGAACGGGUGAGUAACAUGUGAGUAACCUGCCCUUGACUUUGGGAUAACUUCAGGAAACUGGGGCUAAUACCGGAUAGGAGCUCCUGCUGCAUGGUGGGGGUUGGAAAGUUUCGGCGGUUGGGGAUGGACUCGCGGCUUAUCAGCUUGUUGGUGGGGUAGUGGCUUACCAAGGCUUUGACGGGUAGCCGGCCUGAGAGGGUGACCGGCCACAUUGGGACUGAGAUACGGCCCAGACUCCUACGGGAGGCAGCAGUGGGGAAUAUUGCACAAUGGGCGGAAGCCUGAUGCAGCAACGCCGUGUGCGGGAUGACGGCCUUCGGGUUGUAAACCGCUGUCGCCUGUGACGAAGCGUGAGUGACGGUAAUGGGUAAAGAAGCACCGGCUAACUACGUG